CAGCAGAGACCGGCAGCGGCGGGCGGCCCGCGUGGGCUACUGCUGGGGGCUGCGUUCGGGCGAGGAGGGGAGAUUCUGUCUCAGAGGCCUCGGGCUGCACGUUCUUCCGGGCCGCGCAUUUGCAGCCCACAGCAGGCCCCAGCCGGCCCCUCUGGAGUUGGGCCACUGCUUCUGCAGGCCCAGCAGGCCCCUGGGGGCGGCCGGAGGCCACUAACUGGCUUCUCCAGCUCAGCAUUCUUCUCUCAUUUGCUGGGUACCCCACUCUCUUCUCUACCCCUUUGAACCAUCUUUACCCUCAUUCCUCAGGGAACGUUUAACGAGUUGAAUGUUUACCAUGUAGUCACUCUAUAUGGAAAUCAUAAUUCAAUUUUGUAAACAUCAGACUUUGACAAAACAAAUGAUGAUGUUCUUAAGGAAAGCAGAGAGACACAGUGUGAAAUCGCUGCUCUCAGAUCAGCACACGGGAGAGGCCAGCAGUCAGGAGGGGGCUCACCGAGUUUGUCUGCACUCGCUCCCUCCGCAGCCGCCCUCUCCAGCUGGAAGAAGUCGUAAUCGAACCUGCUCAGGUCCUCACUGCCCCACUCCGAAGGAAACCCCACGUACAGGUGAGGUCAGAGGAGUGAAGUGACUUGCCCAAGACCACACAGUGAGUCAGGAGCAGGCCUGUCCCUCCAGCAGUGGUGCCAUGUUGUCCCCAAGCCAUGGUGGCAGAGGAGCUGGUGUGAACGCCCCAUCCUGCCACGUCUGUGAUGUGGGCACCUCACAUGACUGUCCCCUCCCAGCUCUUGGGGGGGACCUAGGACAUUCUGUGAGCCUGCAGGAAAGUUUACCAAAUGCUGCAGCUUUGUCCUGGUGGUGAUGGGCACCCCGUUAACGGCAACCUUGCAUUUGCUAUGUGGAGUGACCGUCACUUUACCGUCGGCAUUUGUGAAGGAAGCGUGUUUAUCUGAAAUUCUAAGAAGAUGAGAGUCAAAGACACCCAGCAAACGGCGGUUUCCGUGAGCAGGUAGGCUGACCUUUCUCAUGUGCACAGGAGGGAAGGUCUACAGCUGCGGAGGAUGGCAGGUGGCAUCUCGGGGCCUCCUGUGUGCUGUGGCCCAUGAUGCAUGGGGACAGCAGCGGGCGCAGAAGGACCCUGCCCUUGGGGAGCACGGGGAGCUGGGAGACAGCAGGCAAGGGCUUCAUUAACAGAACGAACACCAGCUGAGGGCCUAGCACUGCGGGGAGCCGGCCAAGGCCACACUGGAGUCCUCCCGCUCCCAGGCCAGCGGGAUGGGGUGGUGGGAAGAUGGCAGCAAGCAAGCUUCAGAAGAGACGCUCAGGAGGCGACUCUUAACGAGCCUCACCUACUCCGGGUACGUUUUGAUCUGUUUCUGCGCCCUCGCCGUAUAAAUUCAGACCUUAUAGGAUUUGGGGCUGGACGUCGGGGUGUCAGGUUGGCAUCCCCUCUCCCCGCCCUGCUCCCCUGCACCGAUGUCAUCUGUGUGUCCUGAAUGACUGGCUCCCUGCCUUAGCAUGUUCCAUGUUCCUGCACUCCUUGGCCAUCAUGGAAUGUUCUGGAUGUGGAGACCCGUGUGCAUCCAAACCCUUUUUUGCAUGGGGCCCAGGGAUCCUGUGGGAAAGGUUGCGGCCUCAUCACUGGAGUUCAGACAUUUACGCACCUGUGCGUUGGACUAAGGACGUGUUCUGGAAAGGGACUUGAGGGGGAUCCCCAGGAAGAUGUCCCAAGAAGGAGGCUGGCAGUGCAGGACGAGGCGGGGCCAGCCGGCCCCUGGGUCAGCACCCCUCCAGCCACGACGGCCCGUGGGCUUUCGUACGGGGGCAGGGGGUGAUCUGUCUGAAGGAUGUAGGUGAUGGUGCUUCCCAGCUGGAGAGCUGGAAGCAGGAGGAGGACACUCCAGCAGCAGCCUCCCAGGCAGGGCAGCCACAGAGCUGGGGACAGCUCUUGACUGGGUGAGGCCCGGCAUGGGGUUUCCCAGGGCUCCUGCGGGGCCUCCUGAGGGAGCCCUUGGGGUCACUCCACAGUCUGGGCUUUCUGUAGUCCGGUGGGUCAGGGCUCCAAGCACCAGGAGAGAUCCAGGGAUGCGCUUAUGUUUGGGCCACCCCCGGUGGGCUUGUUCGUUCAGCCCCCUUCGUUUCCUGGCCUGCUCUACUUAUAUCUGUUUGUGAAGAAUUAUUACACAGAAUCUAGAAACCAGCUUUCCCUUUUCUCCCAGGGUUGGAGCCCAGGAAGCAAACCAGCACUGCACCCUAGAUUUCAGCCAGAGGACGAAAGCCCUGCCCUCAGCUUUCUCAGACCAGCCCUGGAGUAGGUGGCCCGGGGAGACCUGGGCAGUGUCCCUGCUUGUCCUGCAGACUGUGUGGCUCUGCAGACCUCUAGAUGGAGGAGGCACAAUUCUCUAAUGCUGGACGAGGACACUGAUCAUGGAAACUCACCCCAAACCUUGAAUCGUGAUAGCAUUUGAGGCAGCCUGACCGGUGCCACAUGAACCUGAAAGGAAUCAAGAUAUAAUUUAUUUUGAAAAUAAAUCAGACACUUUCAGAA
RNAcentral lists this long non-coding RNA (2545 nucleotides) under Homo sapiens (human). RNAcentral's name for it is "non-protein coding LINC01341:20". The record is from RNAcentral. Lineage: Eukaryota; Metazoa; Chordata; Mammalia; Primates; Hominidae.